Molecule: ribosomal RNA, 441 nt
Filed under: uncultured bacterium
Lineage: Bacteria
Description: partial 16S ribosomal RNA
Rfam family: Bacterial small subunit ribosomal RNA
Source: RNAcentral
CCUACGGGAGGCAGCAGUGGGGAAUAUUGCACAAUGGGGGAAACCCUGAUGCAGCGACGCCGCGUGAGUGAAGAAGUAUUUCGGUAUGUAAAGCUCUAUCAGCAGGAACGAGACAAGACGGUACCUGACUAAGAAGCCCCGGCUAACUACGUGCCAGCAGCCGCGGUAAUACGUAGGGGGCAAGCGUUAUCCGGAAUCACUGGGUGCAAAGGGAGCGUAGACGGCUGAGCAAGCCUGAAGUGAAAGGCGGGGGCCCAACCCCCGGACUGCUUUGGGAACUGUACGGCUGGAGUGCAGGAGAGGAAAGUGGAAUUCCUAGUGUAGCGGUGAAAUGCGUAGAUAUUAGGAGGAACACCAGUGGUGAAGGCGGCUUACUGGACUGUAACUGACGUUGAGGCUCGAAAGCGUGGGGGGCAAACAGGAUUAGAUACCCGGGUAGUC